Molecule: RNA transcript, 2379 nt
Organism: Triticum aestivum (bread wheat)
Lineage: Eukaryota; Viridiplantae; Streptophyta; Magnoliopsida; Poales; Poaceae
Exons: 2
Source: RefSeq, a predicted model, not a curated record
ACCAAGUCCCGCUGCGGACCAACAUCCUUUCCGCGCCACACACUUCCAAACCCUAGCCACCAACUCCACCCUACUUCUUUCGCCCCUAAAUCCCUCGCCGCCGCCAACCACCGUUUCUCCCCGCGCACUGCGCCCCGAAGUCGCCCGAGCACCUCAGCCUACUCUCUCCGAUCUGUACGUGUUGCUUUGCCUCCGCCGCUUACCACCACCCAUGGCUCCUCUGUUGUUGGACCAUGCCGACACCGCAGCUCCGGUCUGUGUACCACCCCACCCACACCGGCGCUUUGCCUACUCCUUCACACGGCCACGAUCCUGCACAAACGGCGCUGCCACCGCCAGAUUGUGGUUCUCCUCUAGAUCCUGCAGUUCGCCGGCGUCACGGGAGCAUUUAGGAAGCAUUGACCACUUGCAUUGCAAAUACAAGGAACAUAAUCAGGGAGGUUGGCAAUAAGAAGUUGAGAUUAUCAUUCGCCUUGGUUCAGUAAUUGUGAUGUUCCUCCAUGGUUCAGCCAUCCUGCGAGUGCUCGGCUUGGGGCGGUCCAUUGGCUCGAAUGAAUGCCAGCUCCCAGCCCAUGGCCUUGUCCACUAGUUUUUCCUCUUACUGUACUAAGCUGCAAAAGCUUUUUUUAUUGAUUUUUUCAACUCAUCUCAGUACUACAAAUAAGAAGCAAUGAUAAUAAGGUUGCUGCUUUCAUGUUUACUGCAGAAAGUAUCCAACAUUCUUCUUAAAUUUGGGUACUGUAAUGUACAGAGGUUUUCAUCUAUAGAUAAGCACAUCGAUGGAGAUACAAGGCAUGGUCAAAGGCAAUCUGUUUCCGGUACACAGUCUGUACUUAUUAAAAUAUGUGAGAAAGGUUUCUGCAAUGAUGUUCCAUAUGUGUCGUUUGCAGCUCGAUGAUUAAUUUGUAGAUUGAUAUUUCAUUCAUUUCGAUUUAUGUACAUGUUCACAUUUCCAUACAUUCACAUGAUUAUAUGAUUGAGACGACCGAGUCAUCAACUGUCUAACAGAUCAACUUGAUCUUGUAUGUACCCUUUUGAGAUCUCAUUUUCCUAUUUGCAAUUAAUCUUGAUCAGGAGUAAGAUUUAAGGUUCGAGAUCGAUCUAUGAGAGGUGUAAUAUCCUCUGCUUUUAUCAAAGGUAUGGUUAUACUGUUAUUUCUCAACAUGUCUCAAACUUAAGUAAUGAUUAAUUUUGAUACAAGUUUUUGAUAUUGUGAGAUCAUGAUAUCUCUAGUAUGCUCAAGAACAUCUAUGUACCUAGACAUUAUAGUUUAGAGUAUUGACAAUGAAACUAUACCUGGAAAUGCCAUUUACCAGUAGCUAUGCAUGAGAAAUGCAUGUUCUGUAAUAACAAUUAACAAGACAAACAUAUGUUGAGGGGCUCCUGUCAUAGGCUAUACUGUAUGUCAUCUUAAUUUAGUUAAUCUUAUUACUACAUUCUUCUUGGAACAUACUGUAUGCCGUCAGUCAUGUAACUAUUGUGGAUGGGGCUCUUCCCCCUCUUCUUCUUUAAUAGUAUAUGAUACACACACUCGUGCAUAUUCCAGAAAAGAUAUAUUUUCUUAUUAUAUGUUCCAGCUGUAUUGGUGUGGAGCCUGCCCUAGUGCUCUCACUAAUUAUAUAGAUGCUACUUAAAAUUGUAAGUAGUACACACUAGACUAAAGUGUAGCACAGAUCCAUAUAAAUGACUUUGGAAGACUGAAAUGCAGAAACUUAACUCCCCAUUAUUGUCGAGUGGUUUGCAAAUUAGGCUGAGUUGUAUCCUGAUUCUCCAUGUUCUUUGUUGAUUGCUUAUCCACGUAUUGAAAAACAAUGAAUUUGUACAUGUGUUCUUUCAUUGCAGAACUGUUAUAUUCAGCAGGCGCAUCCUUUUGAGGCUAGGUAUUACUAUUUUCUCAAAACAACAUUACUCAUGCAUUUGUUGUCAAUUUUUAUACAAUUAUGUGUCUUAUAGUUUCACUCAGUUAUUAUGUGAUAACUUUAGAGGAAUGGAGCCAAGGUUUGGCCAAGUUAAUUUGAGAAACUGAUAUGUCGAAUAUGUACUUUUGUAUCAUCUAGAUAAUGAUCUAGUUCUUGCACAAUCAUACUUCAACGAGUCUAUUCUUUUUUUAACAGAGCAAUGAGUCUAUUUGGUGCAGGGUAAUCUGUAAGAGAAGCUUGCAAUCCAAGCUAUGAUUGAGUGACAAAUGAGCUCCUAUUUCUCCAUAUAUAGUUGAAGGACUUAUGUUUUAUUAGAUGUGCACUUCUAUUUCAGUGACCUUCAGCCGUUGUAUGCUAAUUAUAGACAGAUUUGUAUAUGAAGUACAUAUAUGUGAUUUAUUUGAACUAUGAUUAAUGUAACAUAUUGAGUUGUUGUGUAUAUUCUAGAUUCAUUGUGAGA